This 23-nucleotide non-coding RNA is filed under the name Cricetulus griseus (Chinese hamster). The record is from RNAcentral. Lineage: Eukaryota; Metazoa; Chordata; Mammalia; Rodentia; Cricetidae.
UCUGAAAAACACUGUUCUGAGGC